This 119-nucleotide ribosomal RNA is filed under the name Pteropus alecto (black flying fox). The record is from RNAcentral. Lineage: Eukaryota; Metazoa; Chordata; Mammalia; Chiroptera; Pteropodidae.
GUCUAUGGCCAUUCCACCCUGAACAAGCCCGAUUCCAUCUGAUCUCAGAAGCUAAGCAGGGUCGGGCCUGGUUAGUACUUGGAUGGGAGACCACCUAGGAAGACCAGGUGCUUUAGGUG